GCCUACGGGGGGCAGCAGUGGGGAAUCUUGCGCAAUGGGCGAAAGCCUGACGCAGCAACGCCGCGUGGGGGAUGACGGCCUUCGGGUUGUAAACCUCUUUCGACAGGGACGAAGCUUUCGGGUGACGGUACCUGUAGAAGAAGCACCGGCUAACUACGUGCCAGCAGCCGCGGUAAUACGUAGGGUGCGAGCGUUGUCCGGAUUUAUUGGGCGUAAAGAGCUCGUAGGCGGUUUGUCGCGUCGGCCGUGAAAACCUGCAGCUUAACUGUGGGCGUGCGGUCGAUACGGGCAGACUUGAGUUCGGCAGGGGAGACUGGAAUUCCUGGUGUAGCGGUGAAAUGCGCAGAUAUCAGGAGGAACACCGGUGGCGAAGGCGGGUCUCUGGGCCGAUACUGACGCUGAGGAGCGAAAGCAUGGGGAGCGAACAGGAUUAGAUACCCUGGUAGG
RNAcentral lists this ribosomal RNA (447 nucleotides) under uncultured bacterium. RNAcentral describes it as "bacterial SSU rRNA". It matches the Rfam family "Bacterial small subunit ribosomal RNA", at positions 337 to 794 of the family's 1533-position model. The record is from RNAcentral.